UACGUAGGGCGCAAGCGUUGUCCGGAAUUAUUGGGCGUAAAGAGCCCGUAGGCGGCUUGUCACGUCGGAUGUGAAAGCCCGGGGCUUAACCCCGGGUCUGCAUUCGAUACGGGCAGGCUAGAGUUCGGUAGGGGAGAUCGGAAUUCCUGGUGUAGCGGUGAAAUGCGCAGAUAUCAGGAGGAACACCGGUGGCGAAGGCGGAUCUCUGGGCCGAUACUGACGCUGAGGAGCGAAAGCGUGGGGAGCGAACAGG
RNAcentral lists this ribosomal RNA (253 nucleotides) under uncultured bacterium. RNAcentral describes it as "partial 16S ribosomal RNA". It matches the Rfam family "Bacterial small subunit ribosomal RNA", at positions 524 to 776 of the family's 1533-position model. The record is from RNAcentral.